GACGAACGCUGGCGGCGUGCCUAACACAUGCAAGUCGAGCGGAGAGGAAGGAGCUUGCUCCUGAAUCUUAGCGGCGGACGGGUGAGUAACGCGUGAGCAACCUGCCUUGAACUGGGGGAUAACGCAUCGAAAGAUGUGCUAAUACCGCGUAAGACCACAGUACCGCAUGGUACAGGGGUCAAAGGAGCAAUCCGGUUUAAGAUGGGCUCGCGUCCGAUUAGCUAGUUGGUGAGAUAACAGCCCACCAAGGCAACGAUCGGUAGCCGACCUGAGAGGGUGAUCGGCCACAUUGGAACUGAGACACGGUCCAGACUCCUACGGGAGGCAGCAGUGGGGAAUAUUGGGCAAUGGGCGAAAGCCUGACCCAGCAACGCCGCGUGAGGGAAGAAGGGUUUCGGCUCGUAAACCUCUGUCCUAUGGGACGAAGAAGUGACGGUACCAUAGGAGGAAGCCCCGGCUAACUACGUG
RNAcentral lists this ribosomal RNA (468 nucleotides) under uncultured bacterium. RNAcentral's name for it is "bacterial SSU rRNA". It matches the Rfam family "Bacterial small subunit ribosomal RNA", at positions 28 to 507 of the family's 1533-position model. The record is from RNAcentral.